AUUGAACGCUGGCGGCAGGCUUAACACAUGCAAGUCGAACGGUAACAGGGUGCUUGCACCGCCGACGAGUGGCGAACGGGUGAGUAAUGCGUCGGAACGUGCCGAGUAGUGGGGGAUAACGCAGCGAAAGUUGUGCUAAUACCGCAUACGUACUGAGGUAGAAAGUGGGGGACCUUCGGGCCUCACGCUAUUCGAGCGGCCGACGUCUGAUUAGCUAGUAGGUGAGGUAAAGGCUCACCUAGGCGACGAUCAGUAGCGGGUCUGAGAGGAUGAUCCGCCGCACUGGGACUGAGACACGGCCCAGACUCCGACGGGAGGCAGCAGUGGGGAAUUUUGGACAAUGGGCGAAAGCCUGAUCCAGCCAUGCCGCGUGUCUGAAGAAGGCCUUCGGGUUGUAAAGGACUUUUGUCGGGGAGGAAAUCCCCAGCGUUAAUACCGCUGGGGGAUGACAGUACCUGAAGAAUAAGCACCGGCUAACUACGUGCCAGCCGCCGCAGUAA
Molecule: ribosomal RNA, 500 nt
Filed under: uncultured bacterium
Lineage: Bacteria
Description: partial 16S ribosomal RNA
Rfam family: Bacterial small subunit ribosomal RNA
Source: RNAcentral